GGAGGGUAUGCGAAUUGGUGAGCGGUCUGAUUCGAAAUCAGAUGCCGGGCAACCGGUUGAGGGUUCGAGUCCCUUGCCCUCCG
RNAcentral lists this transfer RNA (83 nucleotides) under Planctomycetaceae bacterium. RNAcentral's name for it is "tRNA-Ser". It matches the Rfam family "tRNA". From Rfam's summary of the family: Transfer RNA (tRNA) molecules are approximately 80 nucleotides in length. Their secondary structure includes four short double-helical elements and three loops (D, anti-codon, and T loops). Further hydrogen bonds mediate the characteristic L-shaped molecular structure. tRNAs have two regions of fundamental functional importance: the anti-codon, which is responsible for specific mRNA codon recognition, and the 3' end, to which the tRNAs corresponding amino acid is attached (by aminoacyl-tRNA synthetases). tRNAs cope with the degeneracy of the genetic code in two manners: having more than one tRNA (with a specific anti-codon) for a particular amino acid; and 'wobble' base-pairing, i.e. permitting non-standard base-pairing at the 3rd anti-codon position. The record is from RNAcentral. Lineage: Bacteria; Pseudomonadati; Planctomycetota; Planctomycetia; Planctomycetales; Planctomycetaceae.